This 98-nucleotide non-coding RNA is filed under the name human gut metagenome. RNAcentral's name for it is "TPP riboswitch (THI element)". It matches the Rfam family "TPP riboswitch aptamer (THI element)", at positions 7 to 92 of the family's 105-position model. Rfam says of the family: Vitamin B(1) in its active form thiamin pyrophosphate (TPP) is an essential coenzyme that is synthesised by coupling of pyrimidine and thiazole moieties in bacteria. The previously detected thiamin-regulatory element, thi box was extended, resulting in a new, highly conserved RNA secondary structure, the THI element, which is widely distributed in eubacteria and also occurs in some archaea. Analysis of operon structures identified a large number of new candidate thiamin-regulated genes, mostly transporters, in various prokaryotic organisms. The record is from RNAcentral.
UAUAAGGGGUGCUCACUGAAGUGGGCUGAGAAGUCGCUAUGUGUGACUAACCCAUAACCUGAUUUGGAUAAUGCCAACGUAGGGAUAUACGUAUAUAU